CUACGGGCGGCACCAGUGAGGAAUUUUGCGCAAUGGGGGAAACCCUGACGCAGCAACGCCGUGUGAGUGAAGAAGGCCUUCGGGUCGUAAAGCUCUGUCAAGUGGGAAAAAAGUCUUUCGGUAAAUAGCCGGAAGGCCUGAUGGUACCACUAAAGGAAGCACCGGCUAACUCCGUGCCAGCAGCCGCGGUAAUACGGAGGGUGCUAGCGUUGUUCGGAAUUAUUGGGCGUAAAGAGCGUGUAGGCGGCUUGGUAAGUCAGAUGUGAAAGCCCUGGGCUCAACUCAGGAAGUGCAUUUGAUACUGCUUUGCUUGAGUAUGGGAGAGGAGAGUGGAAUUCCCAGUGUAGAGGUGAAAUUCGUAGAUAUUGGGAGGAACACCCGUGGCGAAGGCGACUCUCUGGACCAAUACUGACGCUGAGACGCGAAAGCGUGGGGAGCAAACAGGAUUAGAUACCCCGGUAGUC
Molecule: ribosomal RNA, 464 nt
Filed under: uncultured bacterium
Lineage: Bacteria
Description: partial 16S ribosomal RNA
Rfam family: Bacterial small subunit ribosomal RNA
Source: RNAcentral